GACGAACGCUGGCGGCGUGCUUAACACAUGCAAGUCGAACGGUGAAGCGCCUUCCUUUUUGGUGGGUGUGGAUGAGUGGCGAACGGGUGAGUAACACGUGAGUAACCUGCCCCCUUCUUCUGGAUAACCGCAUGAAAGUGUGGCUACUACGGGAUAUUCUGGGUCUGUCGCAUGAUGGGUCUGGGCAAGAUAUUGUUUCGGUGGGGGAUGGGCUCGCGGCCUAUCCGCUUGUUGGUGGGGUGAUGGCCUACCAAGGCGGUGACGGGUAGCCGGCCUGAGAGGGUGGACGGUCCCACUGGGACGGAUUCACCGCCCCGACUCCAGCAGGGGGCAGCAGCGAGGAUUGCUGCACGGUGGGCGGCAUCCUGAUGCAGCGACGCCGCGUGAGUGAUGGAGUCCUUCGGUUUGUGAACCUCUUUCGCCAGUGAAGCAGGCCUGCCUCGUUUGUGGGUGGGUUGACGGUAGCUGGAUAAUAAGCGCCGGCUAACUACGUG
This 494-nucleotide ribosomal RNA is filed under the name uncultured bacterium. RNAcentral describes it as "partial 16S ribosomal RNA". It matches the Rfam family "Bacterial small subunit ribosomal RNA", at positions 28 to 507 of the family's 1533-position model. The record is from RNAcentral.